AGUUAAAUAUUUUAUUUAUUAAAAUCUUAAAUUGCAAAUUUAAUGAAUCAUUAAAAUGAUUUAACUU
Molecule: transfer RNA, 67 nt
Filed under: Anastatus formosanus
Lineage: Eukaryota; Metazoa; Arthropoda; Insecta; Hymenoptera; Eupelmidae
Description: tRNA-Cys
Source: RNAcentral